GUCUCCGUGGCGCAAUUGGUUAGCGCGUUCGACUGUUACGCAGUGACAUCGAGAGGUUGACAGUUCAAUCCUGUCCGGGGACG
RNAcentral lists this transfer RNA (83 nucleotides) under Puccinia coronata f. sp. avenae. It matches the Rfam family "tRNA". From Rfam's summary of the family: Transfer RNA (tRNA) molecules are approximately 80 nucleotides in length. Lineage: Eukaryota; Fungi; Basidiomycota; Pucciniomycetes; Pucciniales; Pucciniaceae. The record is from Rfam by way of RNAcentral.